RNAcentral lists this ribosomal RNA (497 nucleotides) under uncultured bacterium. RNAcentral describes it as "partial 16S ribosomal RNA". It matches the Rfam family "Bacterial small subunit ribosomal RNA", at positions 28 to 507 of the family's 1533-position model. The record is from RNAcentral.
GAUGAACGCUGGCGGCGUGCCUAAUACAUGCAAGUCGAGCGAACAGACGAGGCUCUUGCUCCUCUGACGUUAGCGGCAGACGUGUGAAUCACACGUGUAUAACCUACCUAUCAUACUGGGAUAACUUCGGAAAACCGGCGCUAAUCGCGUAUGAUAUAUUGAACCGCAGGGUGCAAUGGUGAGUGACGGUUGUGGUGUCACUUAUAGCUGGAUCCCGGCCGGAUUAGCUAGUUGGUACGGUAACGGCUUACCAAGGCGACGAUGCGUAGCCGACCGGAGGGGGUGAUCGGCCACAUGGGAGCUGAGACACGGUCCAGACGACUACGGGAGGCAGCAGUAGGGAAUCGGCGGCAAAGGUGGAAAGCAUGACGGAGCAACCGCGCGUGAGUGACGAAGGUCCCCCGAUCGUAAAACCCUGCUACGAGGGAAGAACAAAUGUGUAAGGAACCAUGCACGUCUUGACGGUACUUAAUAAGAAAGCCCCGGCUAACUACGUG